This 736-nucleotide ribosomal RNA is filed under the name Exiguobacterium acetylicum. RNAcentral's name for it is "bacterial SSU rRNA". It matches the Rfam family "Bacterial small subunit ribosomal RNA", at positions 57 to 770 of the family's 1533-position model. Lineage: Bacteria; Bacillati; Bacillota; Bacilli; Caryophanales. The record is from RNAcentral.
GCAGUCGAGCGCAGGAGCUGACGGAACUCUUCGGAGGGAAGGCAGUGGAAUGAGCGGCGGACGGGUGAGUAACACGUAAGGAACCUGCCUCAAGGAUUGGGAUAACUCCGAGAAAUCGGAGCUAAUACCGGAUAGUUCAACGGACCGCAUGGUCCGCUGAUGAAAGGCGCUUCGGCGUCACCUUGAGAUGGCCUUGCGGUGCAUUAGCUAGUUGGUGGGGUAACGGCCCACCAAGGCGACGAUGCAUAGCCGACCUGAGAGGGUGAUCGGCCACACUGGGACUGAGACACGGCCCAGACUCCUACGGGAGGCAGCAGUAGGGAAUCUUCCACAAUGGACGAAAGUCUGAUGGAGCAACGCCGCGUGAGUGAUGAAGGUUUUCGGAUCGUAAAACUCUGUUGUAAGGGAAGAACACGUACGAGAGGAAAUGCUCGUACCUUGACGGUACCUUACGAGAAAGCCACGGCUAACUACGUGCCAGCAGCCGCGGUAAUACGUAGGUGGCAAGCGUUGUCCGGAAUUAUUGGGCGUAAGCGCGCGCAGGCGGCCUUUUAAGUCUGAUGUGAAAGCCCCCGGCUCAACCGGGGAGGGCCAUUGGAAACUGGAAGGCUUGAGUACAGAAGAGAAGAGUGAAUUCCACGUGUAGCGGUGAAAUGCGUAGAGAUGUGGAGGACACCAGUGGCGAAGGCGACUCUUUGGUCUGUAACUGACGCUGAGCGCGAAAGCGUGGGGAGCA